RNAcentral lists this ribosomal RNA (497 nucleotides) under uncultured bacterium. RNAcentral's name for it is "partial 16S ribosomal RNA". It matches the Rfam family "Bacterial small subunit ribosomal RNA", at positions 28 to 507 of the family's 1533-position model. The record is from RNAcentral.
GAUGAACGCUGGCGGCGUGCCUAAUACAUGCAAGUCGAGCGAACGGACGAGAAGCUUGCUUCUCUGAUGUUAGCGGCGGACGGGUGAGUAACACGUGGAUAACCUACCUAUAAGACUGGGAUAACUUCGGGAAACCGGCGCUAAUACCGGAUAAUAUUUUGAACCGCAUGGUUCAAAAGUGAAAGACGGUCUUGCUGUCACUUAUAGAUGGUUCCGCGCUGCAUUAGCUAGUUGGUAAGGUAACGGCUUACCAAGGCAACGAUGCAUAGCCGACCUGAGAGGGGGAUAGGCCACACUGGAACUGAGACACGGUCAAGACGCCUAAGAGAGGCAGCAGUAGGGAAUCUUCCGCAAUGGGCGAAAGCAUGACGGAGCAACGCCGCGUGAGUGAUGAAGGUCUUCGGAUCGUAAAAAUCUGUUAUUAGGGAAGAACAGAUGUGGAAGUAACUGUGCACAUCGUGACGGUACCGAAUCAGAAAGCCACGGCUAACUACGUG